RNAcentral lists this long non-coding RNA (718 nucleotides) under Musa acuminata (dwarf banana). RNAcentral describes it as "long non-coding RNA (MACU_LNC003164)". The record is from RNAcentral. Lineage: Eukaryota; Viridiplantae; Streptophyta; Magnoliopsida; Zingiberales; Musaceae.
GUUUCUCACCAUGAACUUGGUGACUUCUCUUCUAAUCCCUUCUGGCUUUUGCAGCAUCAUUAGUUUUGUAGCAUCAGACACACAGAUUCUGCUCUGCAAUAGAGGAGGAAAGGUUAGGAGUUGCCCUUCUCUAAUGGAAGAAGCAGGAGGAAGCUCAACAUCUUGUUUGGAGUUGAAUGCCCAUCUUUAUAUCCAGAGAUUGUGCAGCUUGUUUAGGUAUCGAGACAUGAUUUCCAUUAUGCUUUUAUGAACCAUUAUAUACUGAUCAUCAUGCCACUGUUUCUCUUUCCUCCUCCUGUAGCUGUAGAUCUACUGCCAUGCUGCUGCUAUCACUGACUGCAUGUAUGAUUUGAUCAAAGGUUUAUGUUGGGAAUGGCAAGUCUGUCAUCAUGGAUGAUCAGUGAAUGAAGUGACCUUGAAGCAAGAACAAUGGCAAGCCAGAAGGGAAUCGUGAGGAUCACACAACUGUUCUUGAGUGGGAUAGAAUGAUCAAACAGUAAGUAAAGCUCUUUAGAUAAGUCUGUUGAUUGUUCUUUCCAAUGGUGGCUUACCUACCCAAGCACUACAGAAGAGAAUGUCCCUUGCAAGGAAUCUCCUCUGAGAAGAAAAGCUCCAUGAGUGCCUCUCUCCUUUUUCCUCUCCCCCUUUGGCAUCCCACCCAGCUGUGCUGUUGAAUCAUUAAGCUGCCUGUUAGAGUUAGGCCAUAUGUGUUUCCCCC